RNAcentral lists this ribosomal RNA (644 nucleotides) under uncultured Bacilli bacterium. Its description in RNAcentral is "bacterial SSU rRNA". It matches the Rfam family "Bacterial small subunit ribosomal RNA", at positions 50 to 677 of the family's 1533-position model. Lineage: Bacteria; Bacillati; Bacillota; Bacilli. The record is from RNAcentral.
AAUACAUGCAAGUAGAACGCUGAAGCUUGGUGCUUGCACCGAGCGGAUGAGUUGCGAACGGGUGAGUAACGCGUAGGUAACCUGCCUGGUAGCGGGGGAUAACUAUUGGAAACGAUAGCUAAUACCGCAUAACAGUAGAUGUUGCAUGACAUCUACUUGAAAGAUGCAAUUGCAUCACUACCAGAUGGACCUGCGUUGUAUUAGCUAGUUGGUGAGGUAACGGCUCACCAAGGCGACGAUACAUAGCCGACCUGAGAGGGUGAUCGGCCACACUGGGACUGAGACACGGCCCAGACUCCUACGGGAGGCAGCAGUAGGGAAUCUUCGGCAAUGGACGGAAGUCUGACCGAGCAACGCCGCGUGAGUGAAGAAGGUUUUCGGAUCGUAAAGCUCUGUUGUAAGAGAAGAACGAGUGUGAGAGUGGAAAGUUCACACUGUGACGGUAUCUUACCAGAAAGGGACGGCUAACUACGUGCCAGCAGCCGCGGUAAUACGUAGGUCCCGAGCGUUAUCCGGAUUUAUUGGGCGUAAAGCGAGCGCAGGCGGUUAGAUAAGUCUGAAGUUAAAGGCUGUGGCUUAACCAUAGUACGCUUUGGAAACUGUUUAACUUGAGUGCAAGAGGGGAGAGUGGAAUUCCAUGUGUA